UACGAAGGGGGCUAGCGUUGUUCGGAAUCACUGGGCGUAAAGGGUGCGUAGGCGGAUUCUUAAGUCAGGGGUGAAAUCCCGAGGCUCAACCUCGGAACUGCCUUUGAUACUGGGGAUCUUGAGUCCGGAAGAGGUGAGUGGAACUGCGAGUGUAGAGGUGAAAUUCGUAGAUAUUCGCAAGAACACCGGUGGCGAAGGCGGCUCACUGGUCCGGAACUGACGCUGAGGCACGACGAGCGUGGGGAGCAAACAGG
RNAcentral lists this ribosomal RNA (254 nucleotides) under uncultured bacterium. RNAcentral describes it as "partial 16S ribosomal RNA". It matches the Rfam family "Bacterial small subunit ribosomal RNA", at positions 524 to 776 of the family's 1533-position model. The record is from RNAcentral.